This 2382-nucleotide ribosomal RNA is filed under the name Triticum aestivum (bread wheat). RNAcentral describes it as "partial small subunit ribosomal RNA". The record is from RNAcentral. Lineage: Eukaryota; Viridiplantae; Streptophyta; Magnoliopsida; Poales; Poaceae.
AAUCAAUCCCGACCGAUCUCGAUCUCUUUCUCGAGAAAAAACAUGAUCUCGAUCUCGUCCGCCCGUCGGAGUCGACACCAACGGCGGCGCUGCUUCUCGAGGACCCCGCGGCCGAGCCCCGUCCACUCGCUCCCUGUGCCUUUGCCUCAACGUGCGCCUCCGCAAGCCGUCGCUCCCGCCACCACCUUCCCUACCGUGUGCACCCCGAGCGACACCCUCGAAUCCUCUACAGGCGCCCACCCUCACGCCGGCCCCAAACCCUGCCAGUAUCCUAACUAGAUGUCCUCUCUAGAACGAGCGGUCGGCGAGGAUGCUGGUGAUACACGGGGCCUGCUCGAGAAUUUCCAGGUUGAGUAGUUGCGGUUGUCCCACCGGCAGACCAUCUUGUCAUUGUAGUGCUGCUCUUUGUGACAGGGCAUGAGCAGGAUGUCGGCACGAACCUCGUCCAGACAACGGCGGAUGGUCUUCAGGAAUCCUGUGGCUGCAACAUAGGACGAUGGUAGGAGGUGGAUUCACAUGCCCCCUUGGGCGCCUCUCCACCGCUGCACCCCAUUUCCCUUCCUAAGGUUGUGUUUUAUUUCACAUUGAUCAAUUUGUGGGGAGCAGGCCCAUAUGUAGCAAGGAGCAAGCUGCACAAGAAAUUAAUUGGAAUCAAGAUACUCAUCUUUAAUUUAAUAGUAAGGGGUUGAGACUUGGACAAACAAGAACAAGAACAAUUUAUUAUCAAGAUAUCUGCUUUGCAAAUCUACGACGAGAUCGUCAAGGAUCUUCUACGGCCUGAUUCUGGCCCCCUUCGCUUGUUAGAUAAUCCUGAGGUUUGCAACAGAAAGGAACCAUCGUGGACAAGUUGGAUGAAGGAAUCGCCAAGGACAGCCAGUAUCUAAGGCAUCUAAUAGCCAUUUGUGAAGGCACUGCUACAUAUGCAUAACAAAGACAUCUUGGUGAAACUGCACUAAGUGACACAAGUACACGUUCCCACCAAAUCAUUAGGCUGUUUAUAUCUAUAUCCAGACUGUGGAGAGUAUGCUCCAUGAAGCGCCAGGUCGUGUUAUAUCUUUUAUUACUAACUUGAAUUUCGUUGACCUUGCUUGAAGCGAGCGUGCUGCACAAACACAUGCUGUUAGUGCAAGGUUGAAAGAAGGCGCCAUAUUAAUCGCAGCUUGUUGACUUUGACUACUUUCAUCAGAAAGCUCAGAGAAGAUAAGUUUCAAAUCAUAGGAUCCUCUGAUGACAUUUCUGCCAUACAAGCAAUAAGCUUUGAAGUCCGUAAUGUCAACUAUUGAGUAGCAACUAGGAAGAAUUAAGUGGCAAUGAACCUCUCUGAUAAUGAAAAAUUAUUAUCUGUAACCUUUCCUAUGUUGAUUACUUGUUCACUCUUUGUGGUUUAAGGCUCUUAUAUUAGUGUUGGGCCGGUACUGGCAGCGCACCUAUGCUAUUAGUUUGAUUGGCUGAUGAUUUUUUUCAGGCUUAUUUCGAAGUUGAAUAUAUUUCCUUGAACGAGCAUCUUGAGUUCUUGACAUGGCUUGUGAGGCAGCUAAUUUUUUUAUAUUGAUCUAUACCCUCCUUCAGAAUAUAAGAUGAUAUCACAUAUAUUAUGAUGAAUAGACAUUGAAUUGUUUUUUCAAUUGCAGUGGCUAUUGUUUACCUUCCCUGCGGAAGAAGAAUCAUAUGCUUCAGCAAGCCAGACUUUAUUGUAGAUCAGUUCAUCUUGCCAAUGUUUCUAUCAUAUACUCCCUCCGUUCCUAAAUAUAAGUCUUUUUAGAUAUUUAAAAUGGACUAUAACAAACGGAUGUAUGUAGACAUAUUUUAGAGUGUAGAUUCACUUAUUUCGCUCCAUAUGUAGUCACUUGUUGGAAUCUCUAAAAAGACUUAUAUUUAGGAAUGGAGGGAGUAUAUUUAUAUGCUCCAGUUCUUCAAGACUUGCAUUGAUUUCUUCUCCAGAAAUUUGUGUGCUCUUGCUCCUGCAUGAAGGAUUGAUGGAUUUUGCUGCUCUUGGCUUGAUAAAAUUUAGCAUUUCUAGGUUUUCUGUUUAGUUUUUCAUGAUACAGUCUCACUAUGUAAUUGGUAAUUAGAAUUUAGAAUCAUAUUCAGUCUAUACAUAUUUAAGGAGAUAUCCAGUUCCAUGAAUGGCGUAGAAUUUUCGGUCAACCACAAGGAUUUCUCAAAAAUGUGAUGUUCAAAUUUGAAGAGUUAAAUUCUUUGCAAGAGCAGAAGGUGCUAGCCUCGGAAGAGGAUAUAAUGUGAUAAAUUUGUGUUAACAUUUUUUGCAGCUUCACUUCCCAUUAGUGUGCAAUUAUUGCUUUUUUCAUGUGGCUAUAUAUUUACGAUAAUUUCUAUCAUUCUAUUGUACAAAUUUACGGGCAUGGCAAAUUAACUUGUAUC